GAUGAACGCUGGCGGCGUGCCUAAUACAUGCAAGUCGAGCGAACAGACGAGGAGCUUGCUCCUCUGACGUUAGCGGCGGACGGGUGAGUAACACGUGGAUAACCUACCUAUAAGACUGGGAUAACUUCGGGAAACCGGAGCUAAUACCGGAUAAUAUAUUGAACCGCAUGGUUCAAUAGUGAAAGACGGUUUUGCCGUCACUUAUAGAUGGAUCCGCGCCGCAUUAGCUAGUUGGUAAGGUAACGGCUUACCAAGGCAACGAUGCGUAGCCGACCUGAGAGGGUGAUCAGCCACACUGGAACUGAGACACGGUCCAGACUCCUACGGGAGGCAGCAGUAGGGAAUCUUCCGCAAUGGGCGAAAGCCUGACGGAGCAACACCGCGUGAGUGAUGAAGGUCUUCGGAUCGUAAAACUCUGUUAUUAGGGAAGAACAAAUGUGUAAGUAACUAUGCACGUCUUGACGGUACCUAAUCAGAAAGCCACGGCUAACUACGUG
Molecule: ribosomal RNA, 497 nt
Filed under: uncultured bacterium
Lineage: Bacteria
Description: partial 16S ribosomal RNA
Rfam family: Bacterial small subunit ribosomal RNA
Source: RNAcentral